This 275-nucleotide ribosomal RNA is filed under the name Acinetobacter baumannii. Its description in RNAcentral is "partial 23S ribosomal RNA". It matches the Rfam family "Bacterial large subunit ribosomal RNA", at positions 2656 to 2925 of the family's 2925-position model. Lineage: Bacteria; Pseudomonadati; Pseudomonadota; Gammaproteobacteria; Moraxellales; Moraxellaceae. The record is from RNAcentral.
GGAAAUUUGAGAGGAUCUGCUCCUAGUACGAGAGGACCAGAGUGGACGAACCUCUGGUGUACCGGUUGUGACGCCAGUCGCAUCGCCGGGUAGCUAUGUUCGGAAGGGAUAACCGCUGAAAGCAUCUAAGCGGGAAGCCUACCUCAAGAUAAGAUUUCCCUAGGACUUUAUGUCCUCUAAAGAGCCGUUCGAGACUAGGACGUUGAUAGGUUGGAUGUGGAAGCAUAGUGAUAUGUGAAGCUGACCAAUACUAAUUGCUCGUGAGGCUUGACUAU